GACGAACGCUGGCGGCGUGCCUAACACAUGCAAGUCAACUUGACUGAGGGAGCAAUCUGACAGUAGAGUGGCGCAAGGGUGCGUAACGCGUAAGUAACUUGCCCAAGGUAAGGAAUAACGUCGAGAAAUCGGCGCUAAUACCUCAUAAUGCAGCGGAUCCGCAUGGAUAUGUUGUUAAAGGUUUACCGCCUUGGGAUAGGCUUGCGUCUGAUUAGUUAGUUGGUGUGGUAACGGCACACCAAGGCUACGAUCAGUAACUGGUCUGAGAGGAUGAUCAGUCACACUGGAACUGAGACACGGUCCAGACUCCUACGGGAGGCAGCAGUGAGGAAUAUUGGGCAAUGCUCGAAAGAGUGACCCAGCAACGCCGCGUGGAGGAUGAAGGUAUUCUAUAUCGUAAACUCCUGCGAGAGCAGACGAAAGACAGAUUAUUAAUCUGGAUGACUGUAUGCUCAGAGGAAG
Molecule: ribosomal RNA, 462 nt
Filed under: uncultured bacterium
Lineage: Bacteria
Description: bacterial SSU rRNA
Rfam family: Bacterial small subunit ribosomal RNA
Source: RNAcentral